This 21-nucleotide non-coding RNA is filed under the name Caenorhabditis elegans. Lineage: Eukaryota; Metazoa; Nematoda; Chromadorea; Rhabditida; Rhabditidae. The record is from RNAcentral.
UAGACGAAAUUCUCCUUGUAC